CUUUUGGCCCAGCCCUGCCCGGCCGAGGCUAAGUCCCUUCCAAGCUUCCAGAACGCGGCGCCUUUGGGAGGCGGCGGGUGUGGCGGGGCGAGAAGAAUGGCGACCGCCCAAACGCUGCGGAGGGCCAUUAGGGUUUGGAGAGCCCGAGAAGGCCGGUCUGUGGACGCAAGCUCGGUCACCUUCUUGGGCAGUGGAGCGGCGCAGAUCUGGGUCUUGCUGUGCCCGCUCUGUACCAAAGGGGCGCGCCCUACUUAGUCCUGACAACGACGGACAAAGGCCUUAACGGGCCUGGAAGAAAGGCUAUCUUCUGAAAAGGACUUCUGGAAGUGAAAUGAUAACAUCACAUCUGAGUGACACAUGUGCCUAUAUCCACUGGGUUGUUGGUGAAGAAGAGUUGGAAGAAAUGAAGGAUUCUAGACCAGAAUGUUCUUUUUUAGAAGACACUUUCAGCUGUAACCAUUGUUACAUGUGUGUAUUCAACACUACUGUGUAUAUAGAGGACAAACUUAAGUCCUUAAUUGAAACAUCUAGUUUUUCUAGAUGUUUAGAAGUGCACAAAGUAUGUUAAAAGUAGAGGUAGUAAAUAACACAUUUUGUAGAUAACCUUUUGUUAAAAUUCACUAAAUACUGGCUUUUGGAAAUUGAUCAAACACUUGUCUGAGUAGUAUAGGAUAUUUGUGCUGUUCAGGGAGGAAAGAAAAGAAAGUGCAAAGGGCUUUAUACCAAUGUGGUUAUGGUGAGGUGAGACUAUUGUCCCUUAUGUCUGUGCAUUUCAUUUUACUUUGCUGUGUAUAUAGUGUAUAUAAAGGACUAAUGAGUCCUAAUUUACAACAUCUAGUCUUUCUAGAUAAAGAGGUUGCCAGUGUAUGACAAAAGUAGAGUUUAGUAAACUAAUGCAUUGAGUAGACUUUGAGUUAAAAUUCAUAGAAAAGAGUUUUCUUAAAAAUACUUACUGAAGUGAAAUUGUUAAAAUCCCCUCUAAGCAUUACAGAUGCUUAGACCUGUCCACUGGAUUGGUAGAAGGUAGGAAGGGGAAGAGUUCUAGGCUAGAAUGUUCCUACUUAGAGGACAUUUUGAGAUUGUAGCUUUUGUUAUGAGUGUGCAUUCAAUGCUACUGUGUAUGGUGGGAAAAAAACUUAAGUCCUAUCUGAAACAUCUAGUCUUUUUGAUGUUUAAAAGUGUACCACAUAUGUUAAAAGUAGAGGGCUAAAGUAACACCCUUUGAGUGUUUUUUGUUAUUUCAUAGGAGUGGUUGCAUUUGGGGAAUGGAAUUGUUAAACUUGAUAUCUUAGAGAGUAUGCCAUCACUGGGCAGUGGGGGGAGG
Molecule: non-coding RNA, 1324 nt
Organism: Microcebus murinus (gray mouse lemur)
Lineage: Eukaryota; Metazoa; Chordata; Mammalia; Primates; Cheirogaleidae
Source: RefSeq, a predicted model, not a curated record